This 851-nucleotide ribosomal RNA is filed under the name Bacillus sp. enrichment culture clone CBMAI_976. RNAcentral's name for it is "bacterial SSU rRNA". It matches the Rfam family "Bacterial small subunit ribosomal RNA", at positions 117 to 952 of the family's 1533-position model. The record is from RNAcentral. Lineage: Bacteria; Bacillati; Bacillota; Bacilli; Caryophanales; Bacillaceae.
GUGGGUAACCUGCCUGUAAGACUGGGAUAACUCCGGGAAACCGGAGCUAAUACCGGAUAGUUCCUUGAACCGCAUGGUUCAAGGAUGAAAGACGGUUUCGGCUGUCACUUACAGAUGGACCCGCGGCGCAUUAGCUAGUUGGUGGGGUAAUGGCUCACCAAGGCGACGAUGCGUAGCCGACCUGAGAGGGUGAUCGGCCACACUGGGACUGAGACACGGCCCAGACUCCUACGGGAGGCAGCAGUAGGGAAUCUUCCGCAAUGGACGAAAGUCUGACGGAGCAACGCCGCGUGAGUGAUGAAGGUUUUCGGAUCGUAAAGCUCUGUUGUUAGGGAAGAACAAGUGCGAGAGUAACUGCUCGCACCUUGACGGUACCUAACCAGAAAGCCACGGCUAACUACGUGCCAGCAGCCGCGGUAAUACGUAGGUGGCAAGCGUUGUCCGGAAUUAUUGGGCGUAAAGGGCUCGCAGGCGGUUUCUUAAGUCUGAUGUGAAAGCCCCCGGCUCAACCGGGGAGGGUCAUUGGAAACUGGGAACUUGAGNUGCAGAAGAGGAGAUUGGAAUUCCACGUGUAGCGGUGAAAUGCGUAGAGAUGUGGAGUUACACCAGUGUCGAAGGCGACUCUUUGGUCUGUAACUGACGCUGAGGAGCGAAAGCGUGGGGGAGCGAACAGGAUUAGAUACCCUGGUAGUCCACGCCGUAAACGAUGAGUGCUAAGUGUUAGGGGGUUUCCGCCCCUUAGUGCUGCAGCUAACGCAGUAAGCACUCCGCCUGGGGAGUACGGUCGCAAGACUGAAACUCAAAGGAAUUGACGGGGGCCCGCACAAGCGGUGGAGCAUGUGGUUUAAUUC